UGGUAGUCCACGCCGUAAACGAUGAUCACUAGACGUUAGUUCUGCUUGCAGAAUUAGUGUCGCAGCUAACGCGUUAAGUGAUCCGCCUGGGGAGUACGGUCGCAAGGCUAAAACUCAAAGGAAUUGACGGGGGUCCGCACAAGCGAUGGAACAUGUGGUUUAAUUCGACACUACGCGAGAAACCUUACCUAGGUUUGACAUGUAUUUGAUCGUUGUAGAAAUACAAUUUUUCAAAUUUCGGUUUGAACAGGUACACAGGUGCUGCAUGGCUGUCGUCAGCUCGUGUCGUGAGACGUUAGGUUAAGUCCUCUAACGAGCGCAACUCUUACUUCCAGUUGCUAUUUACCUUCGGGUAAAGCACUCUGGAGGAACUGCCUGGGAAACCAGGAGGAAGGUGAGAAUGACGUCAAGUCAUCAUGGUCCUUAUGCCUAGGGCUACACACGUGUUACAAUGGCCAGUACAAAGGGCUGCAAACUUGCAAAAGUAAGCUAAUCCCAUAAAGCUGGUCUAAGUUCGGAUUGAGGUCUGCAACUCGACCUCAUGAAGUUGAAAUCGCUAGUAAUCGCAUAUCAGAACGAUGCGGUGAAUACGUUCUCGGACCUUGUACACACCGCCCGUCACACCACGAAAGUUAUUUGUACCCGAAGCCGUUUUAGCUAACCCGUAAGGGGGGCGAGCGUCUAAGGUAUGGGUGAUGAUUGGGGUGAAGUCGUAACAAGGUA
RNAcentral lists this ribosomal RNA (723 nucleotides) under uncultured bacterium. RNAcentral describes it as "bacterial SSU rRNA". It matches the Rfam family "Bacterial small subunit ribosomal RNA", at positions 788 to 1498 of the family's 1533-position model. The record is from RNAcentral.